GAUGAACGCUGACAGAAUGCUUAACACAUGCAAGUCGAUUCAAAGUUCCUUUCGGGGAACGGAGGAUGGCGGACGGGUGAGUAACGCGUAAGGAACUUGCCUUUUGGCCUGGGACAACUGUUGGAAACGACAGCUAAUACCGGAUAUUAUGAGAUUCUCGCAUGGGAAACUUAUGAAAGCUAUAUGCGCCAAAAGAGAGCCUUGCGUUCCAUUAGCUAGUUGGUGGGGUAACGGCCCACCAAGGCGACGAUGGAUAGCCGGCCUGAGAGGGUGAACGGCCACAAGGGGACUGAGACACGGCCCUUACUCCUACGGGAGGCAGCAGUGGGGAAUAUUGGACAAUGGGCCACAAGCCUGAUCCAGCAAUUCUGUGUGCACGAUGAAGGUUUUCGGAUCGUAAAGUGCUUUCAGUUGGGAAGAAGAAAGUGACGGUACCAACAGAAGAAGCGACGGCUAAAUACGUGCCAGCAGCCGCGGUAAUACGUAUGUCGCAAGCGUUAUCCGGAUUUAUUGGGCGUAAAGCGCGUCUAGGCGGAAAAGAAAGUCUGAUGUUAAAAUGCGGGGCUCAACUCCGUAUUGCGUUGGAAACUGCUUUUCUAGAGUACUGGAGAGGUGGGCGGAACUACAAGUGUAGAGGUGAAAUUCGUAGAUAUUUGUAGGAAUGCCGAUGGAGAAGUCAGCUCACUGGACAGAUACUGACGCUAAAGCGCGAAAGCGUGGGGAGCAAACAGG
Molecule: ribosomal RNA, 732 nt
Filed under: uncultured bacterium
Lineage: Bacteria
Description: bacterial SSU rRNA
Rfam family: Bacterial small subunit ribosomal RNA
Source: RNAcentral